UAAACAGAAAGGUUACAGUUAAUCAUCAUAAAUGUUUUGCAGAGAUUUCUCUUAGAGUCUAUCAGAAGAAAGCUAAAGGGGUUAUCAUGAUGUUCAACCACAGAGUUAACCUUGACUGGCGCCUGGCAAACUUUAUCUUUCUUUCUCUGACUCAUCUCUAAGCCUGAGGGUGGAACCAAAGUUCAUUCGUUCUUAUUACUAACUAUGAAAAUUUCUUACAAUGUGGCUGAAUAGGCAAACAUAAAAUCGCAAUUAGCAGCGAAGAGCCGAUUUCCAAAUGUAAUCAGAGCUAUUGACUGCACUCAUAUUACUGUAAGAGCACCUUCUGAAAAUUAAUUUGCUUUUGUGAAUCAGAAGCAUUUUCAUUCAAUAAAUGUGCAACUAAUUUGUGAUGCACAAAUGUGUUUCACAAAUAUAGUGGCACGUUGGCCUGGUUCAACUCAUGAUUYCUUUAUACUGCGGAAUAGUUCGGAAUAAACUUGAAGUAGGAGCUGUGUGUGAUGGCUGGCUUCUAGGUAUUUAUUUAUUUUUUCUUGCAACAUUCUGAAUUAUUUACAGCCUUUUAUCAUUUGUGUCACAGUGAGAGGCAUAUUUGUGUCAGCUCAAUUUAUUAAGUGUACUAAUUAUCUUUAGGUGACCAAGGCUACCCACUUGCUACCUGGCUCCUCACUCCACUCUUCAACCCCCACACAGAACAAGAGCUGCGAUAUAACGCGCUGCAUGCCCGAGCACGGUCUAUUAUUGAAUGCGCUAUAGGGCAUCUCAAAGGCUGCAGGUGCUGCCUGGACAGGAGUGGUGGCGUCCUGCUUCACUCUCCACAGAAGGCAUGUUGCAUUGUGGUAGCAUGUGCCAUGUUGCAUAAUGUGACAAAACUUUGUGGGGUGCCUCUACUUGAUGUGGRUGUCGACAACGAUGAUCCAGACCCUGGGCCAGCACCCAUAAAUGAGUUAAAUGCAGCUGUGAACCAGCAUCGUUUGGAUUUCAUUCAGACAUUAUAAAACAAUACAGCACAGCAUUGGUCAGCACCCGGCCUGAUUGAUGACCUCCUUCAGCUGAGGCCCGCGGURCCUCUGCUUCAGGCACCUCCCGUUGCACCGAGUGAGGGGCUGUCGGGGGGUCCAGUGGAGAAGCUGGAUGAGGAACUGGGUUCCUCUGCGUCUCUGGCACUGCAUUCCCUGGUUUCCACUUGAACUGCCAAUAAAAGUAAUAAUAACUCAG
Austrofundulus limnaeus is the source of this 1218-nucleotide long non-coding RNA. RefSeq lists it as uncharacterized. The record is from RefSeq and is a predicted model, not a curated record. The transcript is spliced from 2 exons. Lineage: Eukaryota; Metazoa; Chordata; Actinopteri; Cyprinodontiformes; Rivulidae.